GAUGAAGAACGUAGCGAAAUGCGAUAAGUAAUGUGAAUUGCAGAAUUCAGUGAAUCAUCGAAUCUUUGAACGCACAUUGCGCCCGCCAGUAUUCUGGCGGGCAUGCCUGUUCGAGCGUCAUUUCAACCAUCAAGCCCCCGGCUUGUGUUUGGGACCUGCGGCUGCCGCAGGCCCUGAAAAGCAGUGGCGGGCUCGCCGUCACACCGAGCGUAGUAGCAUACAUCUCGCUCUGGGCGUGCUGCGGGUUCCGGCCGUUAAACCACCUUCAUAACCCAAGGUUGACCUCGGAUCAGGUAGGAAGACCCGCUGAACUUAAGCAUAUCAAUAAGCGGAGGA
Molecule: unclassified non-coding RNA, 336 nt
Filed under: soil metagenome
Description: partial contains 5.8S ribosomal RNA, internal transcribed spacer 2, and large subunit ribosomal RNA
Rfam family: 5.8S ribosomal RNA (bases 1-120)
Source: RNAcentral